Molecule: ribosomal RNA, 496 nt
Filed under: uncultured bacterium
Lineage: Bacteria
Description: bacterial SSU rRNA
Rfam family: Bacterial small subunit ribosomal RNA
Source: RNAcentral
AGAGUUGAUCAUGGCUCAGAACGAACGCUGGUGGCGUGUCUUAUACAUGCAAGUCGAGCGGUGCAGCAAUGCAUAGCGGCGAACGGGUGAGUAACGCGUAAGCAAUCUGCCCCCUGUUCGGGAAUAGCCGUGCCAACGCGCGGGUAAUACCGGAUAUUGUGGCCCUGGACAUCCGGGGUUGACAAAAGAUUUAUCGACAGGGGAUGAGCUUGCGUCCGAUUAGCUAGUUGGCGGGGCAACGGCCCACCAAGGCGACGAUCGGUAGCCGGCCUGAGAGGGUGAUCGGCCACAUUGGGACUGAGAUACGGCCCAGACUCCUACGGGAGGCAGCAGUAGGGAAUAUUGCACAAUGGGGGAAACCCUGAUGCAGCAACGCCACGUGUGGGAAGAAGCAUUUCGGUGUGUAAACCACUGUCGUGAGGGAAUAAGGCUGAGUUUCGGCUCAGUUGAAUGUACCUCGAGAGGAAGCACCGGCAAACUUCGUGCCAGCCGCCGC